This 253-nucleotide ribosomal RNA is filed under the name uncultured bacterium. RNAcentral's name for it is "partial 16S ribosomal RNA". It matches the Rfam family "Bacterial small subunit ribosomal RNA", at positions 524 to 776 of the family's 1533-position model. The record is from RNAcentral.
UACAGAGGGGGCUAGCGUUGUUCGGAAUUACUGGGCGUAAAGGGCGCGUAGGUGGCCUGUUAAGUCGAACGUGAAAUCCCCGGGCUCAACCCGGGAACUGCGUCCGAGACUGGCAGGCUCGAAUCCGGGAGAGGGAUGUGGAAUUCCAGGUGUAGCGGUGAAAUGCGUAGAUAUCUGGAGGAACACCGGUGGCGAAGGCGGCGUUCUGGACUGCAACUGACACUGAUAAACGAAAGCCAGGGUAGCAAACGGG